ACAAAACAACCAUUUGUGUGUCUUUGUACAUGUUAUAAUAUAUUGUUUGUGUUAAUGUACACUGCACUCUCAUCAUCUUAUCAGUCUCGAUUUCACAAAAAGUAUU
Molecule: long non-coding RNA, 106 nt
Organism: Hippocampus comes (tiger tail seahorse)
Lineage: Eukaryota; Metazoa; Chordata; Actinopteri; Syngnathiformes; Syngnathidae
Exons: 2
Source: RefSeq, a predicted model, not a curated record